UACAGAGGUCUCAACCGUUGUUCGGAUUCAUUGGGCGUAAAGGUGCGUAGGCGGUCGCGCAAGUCGGAUGGGAAAUCUCAGGGCUCAACCCUGAAACUGCAUUCGAUACUGCGUGGCUAGAGUGCUGGAGAGGAGACUGGAAUUUACGGUGUAGCAGUGAAAUGCGUAGAUAUCAGGAGGAACACCAAUAGCGAAGGCAGCUCGCUGGGACGUUACUGACACUGAGGCGCGAAAGCGUGGGGAGCGAACAGG
Molecule: ribosomal RNA, 252 nt
Filed under: uncultured bacterium
Lineage: Bacteria
Description: partial 16S ribosomal RNA
Rfam family: Bacterial small subunit ribosomal RNA
Source: RNAcentral